AAGGUGAAAAAGAAGAAGAAGAGGAAGAAGUAGAAGAAGAGGAGGAAGAAAAGGAAUCGAAAGAAGAAUCCGAAAGGUACCAAACAUCAGAAGAGGAAGAUGAGUUGUCAACCCUAGGAAGGUAGGAGUCGACCCCACCUCUCCUCAUGAUAGAAGUAGUCAACCCUUGGAACACCACCUCCGGCCGCUUAUAUUCUCCUGACCUUCUGGUAUCAUUUUAUUUCUUGCAUUAUCUUGAAUCAUUUUGAAUACUUAUCUUACAUCAUUUUAAAUCUUACAUUACUAUAUUAUAAUUUAUAUAAUUAAUCCAUGAAUCUAU
Molecule: long non-coding RNA, 319 nt
Filed under: Elaeis guineensis (African oil palm)
Lineage: Eukaryota; Viridiplantae; Streptophyta; Magnoliopsida; Arecales; Arecaceae
Description: long non-coding RNA (EGUI_LNC051881)
Source: RNAcentral